GUUAUCUAUGUAGUGUUAUCCAUAGGCAUAGAUAACGAUAUGAUGUAAUCCGUUAUGUAUGACCGUUAUCUAUUAGUUGCAUACAUAACGGUAUUAUGGAACCGUUAUAUAUGAGGCCCGAAUACUGUUAUGUAUUAUUUUUGUAUUUAUUUUUAAAUUUAAUAUUAUUAUAGAAAAUCAAAACCCUAACCCACCCCACCAAAUUUCCCCAAAUCGAACCUAGACUCUUUCUCUCUUCAGUCUUCACCAUCGUCCUGCCCUGCCACCGCCGUCGCGACACGCCGCCACGACCACCGCCGCCUGGCACUUGCUGCCCAGCCGAUUCCUGAGACCCGCCUCCUCUACCUCUCGUCGUGCUAACGGCCAGCAACUCUCAGUCUCAUCUCUCUACCUCUCUUACCCUCGUUGUCGGCCUCUCUGCCGUCACUACCGCCUCCUCCGAUCUCCCGUGGUUACACAGCCUCACAUGCUAAGCAGCAGACAAUACCCUUUAUAUUCUAUUCAAACCAUUUUUAACCCAAGCCCUAAAUCAAAAUCAGCAGCCCCUAUCUCCUCCAACCAAAAUCUGCGCAGCCCUAGUUAUUGAAUGUAUGUCUUCCAUAAAAAAUCUCCGCCCAUCGUUACUGGUGGUCCGAGGAUCGGCGACCCGAUGGUGUUCUACAGCCGGUUCUCUUCUCAACUCCACAUAACCGAGGCAGGAAAUGGGGAAAGCCCUAAUUCUCCUCUCAUCCUCUAUCUAUCGUUUCGGCCGUGAGCUUCCGGUGAGGCCGCCGCUGGUAUUGGAAGUUGUCUCUAAUGGUUCAUCCUGACAAAUCUUCUCAUCCUCAAGCUCACCAAGCUUUUGUUAAGUUGAAUAAAGCAUUUAAAGAACUUUGACAGUUGCUAAGGGGUUUCCGGGCAGCGUCACUCCUGAUUAUGUCCCUUUUCAAAUAUGGGAUUCAUUGCAGGGCCUUUCGACUUAUGUGAGAACAAUGCUUUCCACCCAGGCUCUUCUAAGUGCUAUUGGGGUUGGUGAGAAAUCGGCCACAGUUAUUGGGGCCACAUUUUAGUGGUGUCUGAGAGAUUUAACUGGAAUGCUUGGAGGUGUUUUGUUUACAUUUUACCAGGGGGCAGACCUGGAUAGCAAUGCCAAAAUGUGGCGUCUUGUUGCAGAUCUCAUGAAUGACCUCGGUAAAACUGUCCACUUCUAUAGUUCUAUUUGCCAUUAUCAUUUCUGUUAUUGUUGCUACUAUUAUUUGAAUAUUUGAUUGGACGGCAUAAUAUUGUUUAUUAUAGUAGUGUUCUUUUUAAGUAUUUCUCUCUGAUUUAGAUGUCAUCUUUAUCGAUUUUGAACAAGAUUUUGCAGCUUUAUUCUAGGGUUUACGGUUUAGUUUUUUCUCAAAAACCUAUUCAGCCUUUAUUCCAGAUAAAGAAGAAGAAAAGUGAUGCAGGAGAACCAGUAAAGUACAUGGGCUGUGGGGACUGCGAGAAUCUCAGUAAAGUACAUGGGCUAUGGUAGCUUGGGAUGGCUUGAGGUCAAAAGACAACUAGAGAAUCAUAGCAGGUUGAUUAACUAGUUCUUGAGGACUUGGUGCUAGAAACAUUGUAUGAUAGAUUUUUGUUUUAGCUAUAAGGUAGUUGAUAUUUUCAAUUUUGAAUCGGAAUAUGCAAUGAUGAUGUAUACUUGAUAUUUGGUUCAUUUGUAUAAUAAUGUAUGA
Molecule: long non-coding RNA, 1697 nt
Organism: Salvia miltiorrhiza (redroot sage)
Lineage: Eukaryota; Viridiplantae; Streptophyta; Magnoliopsida; Lamiales; Lamiaceae
Exons: 7
Source: RefSeq, a predicted model, not a curated record